Molecule: transfer RNA, 76 nt
Filed under: Pseudomonadota bacterium
Lineage: Bacteria; Pseudomonadati; Pseudomonadota
Description: Proteobacteria bacterium tRNA-Thr
Rfam family: tRNA
About the family: Transfer RNA (tRNA) molecules are approximately 80 nucleotides in length.
Source: RNAcentral
GCCGACGUAGCUCAGUUGGUAGAGCAACUGAUUCGUAAUCAGUAGGUCGGGUGUUCGAGUCACCCCGUCGGCACCA